UUCUUCAUUCAAGACAAUCUUUUCCGACAGGAACAAGUGAAUCAAGAACCCAAGGAGAGAACUGGGCUUAUACUUUCAAAUCAAAGGAAAGAAGUAUUCUGACUUUGUCAAGGGUCCCAUUAACCACAAAAAAAGCAGUGACUUUCUCCAUUCUCAUGUUUUCAGAGUUUUAUUUUUGUUCCCAUCUACAUUUAUUAUUAUUUGUUUUUAUUUUUAAAUUUCAACUUUUAUUUCUCGCUUGUUGGGGUUGUAUUUCCUUCAGCCCAAGAGGUUUCUGUAGUUUUAUUUUCUUUACCCCUAGAGGCAAAGCCUUCCCAUCAUGAGUUAUGCCUUGUCAUUAGUUGCAUGGAGGCACUACUCUCCUUAUGUGAAAUCUUUUCCUCUAUGGCUGCACAAGCACCAUCCGAGGGAAAUGUCUCUACCAUCCUCCAUCACCACUGUGGCAACACUGAACCAUCCAAAACUCAGUCCAGGGCAAUUGGUCUGAGCCCAGACUCUCAUGGACUCAUAUCUAAAUUCUGAUAUACUUUCAAUAACGAUUCCUCUGUGAGGUGACGUAUUACUCCAUUUUUACGUGAAAUCUUAUUGCUAAUGGACUCUAGCACUAAAACACCAUGAUAAGAUUUGGUCAGGAAGAAACAUGUCCUGUGGAAGUUUUGAUACAUCUCAGAAAACAGGAAGAACACACUAAUGAGCGGUCUCUGCUAAACUCCCGUUCUGCACUUGGCCUCCAGAGGGCGAGGCUGCACAAACUGGAGCUUUUGUUUCUGUUGAAGAUCAAUUCACUGCUCAGUUUCUUCUUCCUGCAGCUGGUUGAGUUCUUUCUAGACAGAGACAAGUGACAAGAAUCAGAGGUUUAAAAGCAACCACAUUCAUCUCUGCAGGUUUUGUAGUUUUAUAUAAGCAAGGAGCUCGUCCAGCAAACCUUCCCCACACUUCUUGUUCUUGGUCUCUUCAGCCACUUUCCUUCUUGUUCUCUGGAGAUCUUGCAGAAAAGAGCCUAUAGUGUUUCCCUUGCUCAGCCAUGCUCCUGGUGUUCAUCCCACUGCUGGGGAUACAUUUUGUCCUGAGAACUGCCAGAUCCCAGUCAGUGACCCAGCCUGAUAUCCAUAUCACCGUCUCUGAAGGAGCCUCACUGGAGUUGAGAUGUAACUAUUCCUAUGGGGCAACACCUUCUCUCUUCUGGUAUGUCCAGUCCCCCGGCCAAGGCCUCCAGCUGCUCCUGAAGUACUUUUCAGGAGACAGUGUGGUUCAAGGCAUUAAAGGCUUUGAGGCUGAAUUUAAGAGGAGUCAAUAUUCCUUCAACCUGAGGAAACCCUCUGUGCAUUGGAGUGAUGCUGCUGAGUACUUCUGUGCUGCGGGUGCCACAGUGCCUGGGUCUGCAGGGGGAGCUGAACACAAACUGCCUAUGCUAGAGAAGUUUUCAGAGACUCAGUGUAUCUUCCUGUGACAUUUUCAAAGAUCUCUUGCUUUUAGGAUAGUGAGUGAGGCAAAGAAAGCUGAGCACAUCCAGACAUUUCUAUAUAAUUCUGCAAUUCCUUCUGUGUCCCAUGUCAGGUAAACUUUGUUUUAGAAGCUUUUUGUUAAUUGAAGAAACUGCGUAAUAGGAAAUAGUAUUCUAGAAUGAUGGAGGAGACAUACUUCUUAUCACCUAACAAUCAGGUUCUCAAGGACCUUUCCUUGACCGUGACUGCAUUAAGUGGUUGACUAUGGGAAUGUUGAUAUGGUCUAGGAUAACCUUGGUUUUCAUUUAUCAUUUAAUCUCUCAACUAACCCAGAAAACAAAAGAUAAGCUUCUCAUGUUCUUACCUUGCAAGUUUGCAUUCUUGAGCUGGUCAUUCGUAGGGUAUUUUCUUAGAAUUUAUUUUUUCUGGCUUUAACUGUGCUAUUCAGGUUUCAGGAUAUCUUGUCUCAGUAACUCUAUUUAGGAAGAAUUAUGAGAAAUUAUUAGCCAAUGGUGAAAGUUUCAUUAGAAUCAUGAAGGACUCAGAAAAUUGUCACAGCGAUGUGAGUUCUGGCAACUAGGAAUAGUGCACAAGGAGAAUGAAGAUUUAGAAUUCAUCAGUGUUUCUCCAAAGACUUUUUCACAGUUAUAAAAAUAGCUUCUAUUCUAUUGAUAUAUUAAUUAUGCAAAUCUACAUUGUAAGUUUUUCUAUGAAAUUCCGUUCAUCUCUUCUAGCUACUGACACUUUUACUUGUUGCUUUCACUCUGUUGUUACAUGGUUUCACUAUUGAAAUAUUAAAGAUUGAUUCUUUUUUUGGAGAUAGGGUUUUACUCAUUCACCUAGGCUGGAGUGCAGUGGCAUGAUCAUAGCUC
This is a non-coding RNA of Macaca mulatta (Rhesus monkey), 2317 nucleotides long. NCBI's taxonomy places the organism in Eukaryota, Metazoa, Chordata, Mammalia, Primates, Cercopithecidae. The record is from the annotation of a RefSeq genome assembly.